This 465-nucleotide ribosomal RNA is filed under the name uncultured bacterium. RNAcentral's name for it is "partial 16S ribosomal RNA". It matches the Rfam family "Bacterial small subunit ribosomal RNA", at positions 28 to 507 of the family's 1533-position model. The record is from RNAcentral.
GACGAACGCUGGCGGCGUGCUUAACACAUGCAAGUCGAACGGAAAGGCCCCCUUGUGGGGUACUCGAGUGGCGAACGGGUGAGUAACACGUGAGUAACCUACCCUUGACUUUGGGAUAACUUCAGGAAACUGGGGCUAAUACCGGAUAGGAGCUCCUGCUGCAUGGUGGGGGUUGGAAAGUUUCGGCGGUUGGGGAUGGACUCGCGGCUUAUAAGCUUGUUGGUGGGGUAGUGGCUCACCAAGGCUUUGACGGGUAGCCGGCCUGAGAGGGUGACCGGCCACAUUGGGACUGAGAUACGGCCCAGACUCCUACGGGAGGCAGCAGUGGGGAAUAUUGCACAAUGGGCGGAAGCCUGAUGCAGCAACGCCGCGUGCGGGAUGACGGCCUUCGGGUUGUAAACCGCUUUCGCCUGUGACGAAGCGUGAGUGACGGUAAUGGGUAAAGAAGCACCGGCUAACUACGUG